UACGUAGGGUGCAGGCGUUACUCGGAAUUACUGGGCGUAAAGCGUGCGCAGGCGGUUUGCCAAGAGAGAUGUGAAAUCCCCGGGCUUAACCUGGGAACUGCGUUUCUAACUGGCAGGCUUGAGUGUGGCAGAGGGGGGUGGAAUUCCACGUGUAGCAGUGAAAUGCGUAGAGAUGUGGAGGAACACCGAUGGCGAAGGCAGCCCCCUGGGCUAACACUGACGCUCAUGCACGAAAGCGUGGGGAGCAAACAGG
RNAcentral lists this ribosomal RNA (253 nucleotides) under uncultured bacterium. RNAcentral's name for it is "partial 16S ribosomal RNA". It matches the Rfam family "Bacterial small subunit ribosomal RNA", at positions 524 to 776 of the family's 1533-position model. The record is from RNAcentral.